UACGUAGGAUGCAAGCGUUGUCCGGAAUUAUUGGGCGUAAAGCGAACGUAGGCGGUUUCUUAAGAUUGGUCUUAAAGACCGGGGCUCAACCCCGGGAAUGGAUCGAUAACUGGGAGACUGGAGGACGUCAGAGGAAAGUGGAAUUCCGAGUGUAGCGGUGAAAUGCGUAGAUAUUCGGAGGAACACCAGUGGCGAAAGCGACUUUCUGGGACGUUCCUGACGCUGAGGUUCGAAAGCUCGGGGAGCAAACAGG
RNAcentral lists this ribosomal RNA (253 nucleotides) under uncultured bacterium. Its description in RNAcentral is "partial 16S ribosomal RNA". It matches the Rfam family "Bacterial small subunit ribosomal RNA", at positions 524 to 776 of the family's 1533-position model. The record is from RNAcentral.